UAUUGUCAGGCUCACCAUUUCCCUUGCAAACUUUACGUUCUCAUUGUGAAACAAGUCAGCUGGAGAGCACAGGCAUCAGACAGAUUUACUGGGAGAUGAAGAAAGAUUUUCUGAACUUAAAAAAAACAAACCUGAGGGGUGUAUCAAAACAGUUAACUUACAGAGUGAGGAAAUUAACCGUUGCAGAAAUAUAUGGUCAUUUCCUGAGCCCGAUGAUCUGAGGAGUAACCAACAUAAGACGUUUUCUAACAGCCAAUCUAUCAUUUAUGGGCUUUUCAUGCUACGCCAUACACACUGGAGCAGCUCAUACGUGUACGGAAAGUAAAAUCUGUUACAGUGUGGAAGCACCAGCACUGAUUAGAUGAAAAUUCCCUAGGGAACUGCCUGAGCUAAUGGCAUCACCUAACACCUCUAGCAGGACAAACUAGCAACUCCCUGCUCCGCAGUGGGCAUUAGUGAUCUCAUCAGCUUCUGCACUAGAAGCCUGGAACCCUGAACUCAGGUUUGAUUUUAACUGAACUCUUAUGAUACAAUCCAGAAGGCUUUUAAGAAUCAACAACUUCCUUUUCCAUAAUGUCUGGAAAUAAAUCCCAACUAGAUGAUGAAACAAUGACCAUGCUUCAGAACAGAGCUAUUACAAUCACCCUCCCAGCUGUGUACUCCUUGGUGGCCCUCAUCAGCAUCCCUGGGAAUGUGUUCUCUCUUUGGGUGCUCUGCUGCCACAUCAAACCCAAGACACCCUCAGUUAUCUUCAUGAUUAACCUUAGCAUCACAGACCUCACCCUGGCUUGCUGCUUUCCCUUCCAGAUUAUCUAUCACAUCAAGAACAACAACUGGAUCUUUGGUAAGAGUCUUUGCAGCUUAGUCACAGUGAUGUUCUACUCAAACAUGUAUUCUUCCAUACUCACCAUGACCUGCAUCAGCAUAGAGCGGUUCUUGGGAGUGGUGUAUCCCAUGAAGUUAAUCAAGUGGAGAAGAAAGAGAUAUGCACUUGCUGCCUGCUUGGGCAUGUGGGCCUUUUUGCUAUUGGCCCUAUACCCACUGGCGAGCACAGAUCUGACCUAUGAAGUAGAACAACUAGGGAUCAUAACUUGUUUCGAUGUGCUCAAAUGGGACAUGCUGCCCAAUUUUAUAGCAUGGGUAACCUUUCUUCUGACGCUGUUUGUUCUCCUCUUCCUGAUCCCAUUCAUAGUGACGGUAGCCUGCUAUAUUGGCACUAUUCGGAAGCUCAUUCAGACCUCUGGCAAACACGGUAGCAAGAAUAAGACUAGGUCUAUAUACCUGGCUGGAAUUGUCCUCUUGGUAUUCAUUACUUGCUUCGCCCCUAAUAACUUUAUUCUACUUGUGCACAUGAUCAGCCGUCUCUUUUUCCAAAAGAGCUUCUACCCUGCUUACAAGCUCACCCUAUGCCUCAGUUGCCUGAGCAUCUGUAUAGAUCCAUUCAUUUACUAUUUUGCAUCCAAAGAAUUUUAUCAGAAAUUCAUGCAAGUAAUAGGUCAUAAGGCACUGCUCACUGACAGUCUGGAGACCAGAAGGGAAAGCUUAUUCUCUGGCAGGACAAUGUCGGCCAGGUCAAUGUCAAGUGGGCCUAUGGAAGGGUUAGAUGGAGUUAAGGUAUGUUUGCAAAGGCAGGAAAGUGUUUUUUAACUACAGAUUUCAAAUCCGAUGUGGGAAGGAAGUAGAAAGUUCUCAGUGGAGAAAGAAAGGGAUUUUUUUUAAACGAUAUUCUGAUAAACAUCAAUGCCCAUAGCAAUAAUAGUCCAACCACAUUGAACAGCAAGUAUCUCACACAUGUCAAAAAUCAAUAACCACUUGCGGGGAAGAAAUAGAGAAGGAGUAAGAUGAACCAAAAUUAUCAAAGGAAGAAAGUGAUCCAGUCCAAGUCCGGUGAUCCAAGACAAAACUGACAAACAAGGAUACAGACAGCAUUAAUUCUACUGAACACUUCUCAAUAUGAUUGGAAAGCAAGGACAAACCAAAAGUACUUUCAGAAUCAGAUCUCAGUGCUUAACCAAAUAGUUAUGGAUCUCACUUUUUAUACUAAAGGAAAAUAAUGUUAAACUGGGUUUGGGGGCAGGGAGUUGCCUUUGUAAAUAUGUUAAUUGCUUAUCGAGGUAUGAAUUUUUCUUGUGUUGUUGCAGAAAAAGAAUUAAUAUAUCUUGCCAUUUUAUCAUGAAUACAUUAUGUGUAGCCACUAUGAACUCAUCACAACACUUAUGUAUCACUCGCCUGAUUUAAACACAGCCUAACCUAACCACAUUAACCUUCAAAGAGGUUAGCUUGGUGAAUAGUUAUUUAUUUCAAUUUCGUCUAUCGAAAUCUCGUAAAAUGAAGUAAAAAAGAAAGACCAAUGUCAGUACCCUAAACCACAUCAAUGCCCCAGCUGCUGAGUGGGUUACAUCACUGUUAGAGCUAGACACUUCUAAGGAGGGAGGCGAAGUGCAGAUGGCUUACAUGGCAAUUUUCUCACAAUGACCCACUACAUUAAUAUUGCUGAGCUGGCAUUCACUUAACUUAGUUUGUUUGUUUUACAAUGGGCCAAACUCUAUGGUCCUGUACUGAAUACAGUUCCCAUUGCAGUCAGUUUGAGUAUUGCUUUAUGUAGUUGAUGGACAGUGUUUUUGCUUUCCUCUAGGAGCUAGUUCAGAUAAUGGUCCAGAUUCUCAUCUGGUGUAAAGGGGAGUAAUCCCAUUUAUCUCAAUUGCAUUAUGCCAAUAUAAACAAGCUGAAGAUUUGUCUCCUGAAUAUUGGCAUUACCUCAUUUGCUUUUGAUACUUUACAUGUCUGGACUACAGGUUUUACAGACAGAAAAAGGCACUGGGCAGUUGAAAUUUACCAACCUUCCUGCAGCUAGCUCAUAUAUUAGUGCAGUGGCAUGUUCAGACCCUCAGUAUCCUGUCCCAAGGUAUUGCAUCACACCGUGCUUCUCCUCAUAUCUCAAAUCGAAUGGUUGCUUAGAAAUACAAUAAAACAGCAUCUAUGUUUUUCUUUUUAAUCUCAAAAGACUUUUUUCCUAUUUUUUUAUUUGAAAUUGUGCAUAAUAUCAACAGUUAUUAAAAUGAGGAGCUAAUGACACUUGUUAGAGCCAAGCAAGCUUCCCCCCACCACUGGGCAAAAACAACUCAACAAUACUUCUAAUAUCCUAGAGCUUGAUCUAACUCUCAGUGAGCUCAGCAGGAAACUUACCAUUGACACAGAUAUGAGCAUCGGAUCAGGCCUCAAGUAAUUGGCUAGCCUGGAGCAGUGAUCACCAGCUAUGUGAACUGUGUGAUAGUUCCAUAACGUGAACAAAAAAUAUUUAAAAGGUACUAGAUUAGACCACUAAAAAUUUAUCUGCCUUUUCAUCUAAGGUAUGAUUCAGACUCAGCAAUCCAAACGUUAAUAGUUCCAUACAUUAGCCUUGUUCACCAUCUACCUUCUAGCCUGUGCUUUGUUAUAGUAACUGGAUAACCAAAAAACUUGUUUUAGAAUUUAUAAAGGAUUUUUCCUACCUAUUAUCCUCCCUGUCAAAUAGUCAAGUACUGAUGGAGAUUACAACCAAGAUGAAAAGCAAUGCAUAUUAGUGAUUUACAGUAUAACCUCAGAGUUAGGAAAACCUCAGGAAUGGAAGUUAUUUGUAACUCUGAAAUGUUUGUAACUGUAAACAAAACAUUAUGGUAGUUCUUUAGAAAGUUUACAACUAAACAUUGACUUAAUACAGCUUUGAAACUUUACUAUGCAGAAGAAAUAUGCUGCU
Trachemys scripta elegans is the source of this 3736-nucleotide RNA transcript. It is a transcript of the gene named P2Y purinoceptor 8-like, with no coding region annotated. NCBI's taxonomy places the organism in Eukaryota, Metazoa, Chordata, Testudines, Emydidae. The transcript is spliced from 5 exons. The record is from RefSeq and is a predicted model, not a curated record.